Long non-coding RNA from Quercus robur (English oak), 602 nucleotides. RefSeq lists it as uncharacterized. NCBI's taxonomy places the organism in Eukaryota, Viridiplantae, Streptophyta, Magnoliopsida, Fagales, Fagaceae. The transcript is spliced from 2 exons. The record is from RefSeq and is a predicted model, not a curated record.
GUACACCCGACGAAUGACGUCCCAUCACCAGUUCGAUUUCCCACAAAACCCUAAAUCUCAUAUUUCCUUUUCUCUAAUUGAAGGAAGUACAUCAAUGGCAGGGUUCCAGCCUCCCAGCCCAAUUUCAAACUCUCUCUGCCUCUGCCUCCUCCCACUCCACAGUACUUUUCGAUCCGACUCGGAACAGUGAAGAAUGGUUGCUAUUGCACAUCAGAUUCGCUACAGCGAUAGUAGUCCUCAUGAUCCUCUUUGUUGCUCUCUUUGUUAAGCUAUGCAAGUGUGGACGGAGUAGCAGAAGCCAAAGCGAUAUCGAACUUCAGUCUACCUCUGAAUAUAUGAACUGACUGAGGCUUUGGCAUAGCCUCGUUCCAUGUUGAGCUCUGGUGCAAUUCAUAAUUAUGCAUUUCUUGUAGGUUCCAUGCUCUGAUCUAAUUUAGUCAGGUCAGUUUAAAAACCUGAGCCUAAUAUGGUUGCAACUUCUAUAAGGUGUAUAUUAUUCUGUACUGUAUUGUUCCUGUUCAGUUAUAUAUGUACUGUAUUUACGUAUUUUAAUGAUUGAAGAAUAUGGUGUGGUUUCGUUUGUGCUUGAUAUGAUUGGUACA